RNAcentral lists this ribosomal RNA (732 nucleotides) under uncultured prokaryote. Its description in RNAcentral is "bacterial SSU rRNA". It matches the Rfam family "Archaeal small subunit ribosomal RNA", at positions 43 to 781 of the family's 1478-position model. The record is from RNAcentral.
ACUAAGCCAUGCGAGUCUUUGCAGUAAUGCAAGGCAUACGGCUCAGUAACACGUAGUCAACUUACCCUAUGGACGAGGAUAAUCUCGGGAAACUGAGCAUAAUACUCGAUAGAUCAUAAUGCCUGGAAUGGUUUAUGGUUGAAAUGAUUCGUCGCCAUAGGAUGGGACUGCGGCCUAUCAGCUUGUUGGUGAGGUAAUGGCCCACCAAGGCGAUUACAGGUACGGGCUCUGAGAGGAGAAGCCCGGAGAUGGGUACUGAGACAAGGACCCAGGCCCUAUGGGGCGCAGCAGGCGAGAAAACUUUGCAAUGUGCGAAAGCACGACGAGGUUAAUCCGAGUGAUUUCUGCUAAAGAAAUCUUUUGCCAGUCAUAAAACCACUAGUGAAUAAGGGGUGGGCAAGUCCUGGUGUCAGCCGCCGCGGUAAAACCAGCACCUCAAGUGGUCAGGAGGAUUAUUGGGCCUAAAGCAUCCGUAGCCGGCUUUGUAAGUUUUCGGUUAAAUCCAUGUGCUCAACGCAUGGGCUGCCGAAAAUACUGCAUAGCUAGGGAGUGGGAGAGGUAGACGGUACUCGGUAGGAAGGGGUAAAAUCCUUUGAUCUAUCGAUGACCACCUGUGGCGAAGGCGGUCUACCAGAACACGUUCGACGGUGAGGGAUGAAAGCUGGGGGAGCAAACCGGAUUAGAUACCCGGGUAGUCCCAGCUGUAAACGAUGCAGACUCGAUGACGCAUUG